RNAcentral lists this long non-coding RNA (1001 nucleotides) under Phoenix dactylifera (date palm). Its description in RNAcentral is "long non-coding RNA (PDAC_LNC016383)". Lineage: Eukaryota; Viridiplantae; Streptophyta; Magnoliopsida; Arecales; Arecaceae. The record is from RNAcentral.
AAUAGUCGUUCAGAAAAAAAAAAAGCAUUACAUUCCUUGAUCAUCAAAGAUUGCUUCCAAACGAGACCACAAACAUUACAUUCCUACUCGCCAAGGGAUAAUUCAAGGCCUCAAACUUUCAGUUAGAUGCAACUUCACUAGAUCAAUCGCUCUCUUCACAUUUAAUAUUAUUGAACCGCUUAGGCCCUAUAACAAAACAGAAUGAUAAUACGUUUAAUGUUGUCUUCAUAGGAUUUUAGUCUACGAUUGCCUUAGGACAACGAUUUAAAUAUUGAGUCAAACGGGAAAACCACAAGCAAACAGGACACAAAACAUGGAUUACCAUGAUAGCGAUAAAAGAGCCACCAUGCAAGCAUGACUAAAACUCUAGUUGCAUCAAAAUACAACACUAACCAUCCAUUCACAAAGAGAGAAAAAGAUAAGUACAAAAGAAGAAGAAAAUACAUCACCAACAGUCCAACGCAUAUGAUUUUUUUGAACGGAAAAAGGAUCACAGAACAAUAGCUUCAUAUACCAUAAAUGAUUGCUUGCCCACUCACUGGAUUCAUCUUUCAUAUACCAUAAACAUACAAGCCAGAUGAUCAAAUUAAUAGGACACACAACAUAACUCUGCAUAUGGCAAAACACAGGAAGACGCAAACCCAAACAUCAGAGGACAUGGGCAUUCACCAAUAAGCGUUUGUGGGGUGCCACAAUCCUCUACCAUGCCAAUAAGUUGAAUUAGUUGGGCAACUUAGUUGUGUGUAAUCUGACAGUCAAGAUUUAGUGAAUGAUAAUUGCAUAGGCCACAAAAUCACUACACAAAAUGAAACCUCAGUAUUUUGCAUGGGAACAUCACAAUCUAGCAUCAAUGAUUAACAUAGAAUGUGUCUUUAAGAUGGAAAACCACAAGCAAACAGGAAACAAAUAACAUGGACCAUUACGACAGGAAUAAAAGAACCACCACAUGCAUACGACCAAAACUCUACUCCCAUCAAAAUACAUCACCAAUAGUCCAAUGC